GCCUCUGGGUGUGUUGUUCUGUUUAGACUGGCAGGUCAGUGAGGAUGCCCAACAGGCAGCACGGCUCACAUUGCCUCUGGGUGUGUUGUUCUGUUUAGACUGGCAGGUCAGUGAGGAUGCCCAACAGGCAGCACGGCUCACAUUGCCUCUGGGUGUGUUGUUCUGUUUAGACUGGCAGGUCAGUGAGGAUGCCCAACAGGCAGCACGGCUCACAUUGCCUCUGGGUGUGUUGUUCUGUUUAGACUGGCAGGUCAGUGAGGAUGCCCAACAGGCAGCACGGCUCACAUUGCCUCUGGGUGUGUUGUUCUGUUUAGACUGGCAGGUCAGUGAGGAUGCCCAACAGGCAGCACGGCUCACAUUGCCUCUGGGUGUGUUGUUCUGUUUAGACUGGCAGGUCAGUGAGGAUGCCCAACAGGCAGCACGGCUCACAUUGCCUCUGGGUGUGUUGUUCUGUUUAGACUGGCAGGUCAGUGAGGAUGCCCAACAGGCAGCACGGCUCACAUUGC
Oncorhynchus tshawytscha (Chinook salmon) is the source of this 506-nucleotide long non-coding RNA. RefSeq lists it as uncharacterized. The transcript has 3 exons. The record is from RefSeq and is a predicted model, not a curated record. NCBI's taxonomy places the organism in Eukaryota, Metazoa, Chordata, Actinopteri, Salmoniformes, Salmonidae.